CUUCGGGUUGUAAAUUCUCGUUAUAAGGGAAGAACGACUUUAGUAGGAAAUGGCUAGAGUGUGACNGUACCUUAUGAGAAAGCCACGGCUAACUACGUGCCAGCAGCCGCGGUAAUACGUAGGUGGCGAGCGUUAUCCGGAAUUAUUGGGCGUAAAGAGCGCGCAGGUGGUUGAUUAAGUCUGAUGUGAAAGCCCCGGCUUAACCGUGGAGGGUCAUUGGAAACUGGUCNACUUGAGUGCAGAAGAGGGAAGUGGAAUUCCAUGUGUAGCGGUGAAAUGCGUAGAGAUAUGGAGGACACCAGUGGCGAAGGCGGCUUCCUGGUCUGUACUGACACUGAGGCCGAAAGCGUGGGGAACAAACANGAUUANAUACCUGGUAGUCCACCCCCNUAAACGAUGAAUGCUANUUGUUGGGGGGUCNAACCUCANUGCUGAANUUUACGCAUUAAGC
Molecule: ribosomal RNA, 451 nt
Filed under: uncultured bacterium
Lineage: Bacteria
Description: bacterial SSU rRNA
Rfam family: Bacterial small subunit ribosomal RNA
Source: RNAcentral